This 455-nucleotide ribosomal RNA is filed under the name uncultured Oscillospiraceae bacterium. Its description in RNAcentral is "bacterial SSU rRNA". It matches the Rfam family "Bacterial small subunit ribosomal RNA", at positions 8 to 481 of the family's 1533-position model. Lineage: Bacteria; Bacillati; Bacillota; Clostridia; Eubacteriales; Oscillospiraceae. The record is from RNAcentral.
AGAGUUUGAUCAUGGCUCAGGACGAACGCUGGCGGCGUGCUUAACACAUGCAAGUCGAACGGAGAUGUUAGUAAUAACAUCUUAGUGGCGGACGGGUGAGUAACGCGUGGGCAACUUGCCUCAGACUGGGGGAUAACACAGGGAAACUUGUGCUAAUACCGCAUAACAUCGAGAGUGGACAUCCACUUUCGAUCAAAGGAGUAAUCCGGUUUGAGAUGGGCCCGCGUCCGAUUAGCUAGUUGGCGGUGUAAUGGACCACCAAGGCGACGAUCGGUAGCCGAACUGAGAGGUUGAUCGGCCACAUUGGGACUGAGACACGGCCCAGACUCCUACGGGAGGCAGCAGUGGGGAAUAUUGCACAAUGGGGGAAACCCUGAUGCAGCAACGCCGCGUGAAGGAUGAAGGUUUUCGGAUUGUAAACUUCUUUGAUGAGGGACGAAUAAUGACGGUACCUC